This 527-nucleotide long non-coding RNA is filed under the name Mytilus galloprovincialis (Mediterranean mussel). The record is from RNAcentral. Lineage: Eukaryota; Metazoa; Mollusca; Bivalvia; Mytilida; Mytilidae.
AAAAAACGUCAUAUUUUGCUGCAUGUUUAUCAAAAUUAAAAAAAUCCUCUAUUUACAGUUUUAUAAAAUUUGGGUCACAUAAUCUCCCUGCAAAAUGAAACAAAUUGCCGUUUUGAAAAAUAGGGGUCCAUGAACUCGUUUUCAAAUUAAAUCAGUUUGAAUGAUAAAAAUCAGUCGAAAAAUGCAUCUUUUCCCGAUAUGUCACAGUUUGACGUCGCGAAAAUAACAUUUUACGUUAGCAACGUCAUUACCUCCCCUGUAACUGUAUCGUAUGCCCUUAAAUUCUGUGUAACGCUGCUGGGUCCGCCCACAAUAGGUCGAAAUUUUAAAUCAUUUGGUGUUAAAAGUUCGAUGUAUUCACUGUUUUGUUCUGAUAUCGCAUUUGAAAUUUCCUUACUUUUGUGAAUUUUUGGUAAACCAUAGAAAUAGCUUUCUGAAAAUUUAGAAUUUGAAAUGUAAUCUAUCUCUUCUUCAAACAAUUCCGUUUUAUGUUUCUUUAGUAAUUUUUUAAUCAUUGUACUUGUUUG